Ceratitis capitata (Mediterranean fruit fly) is the source of this 349-nucleotide long non-coding RNA. RefSeq lists it as uncharacterized. The transcript has 3 exons. Lineage: Eukaryota; Metazoa; Arthropoda; Insecta; Diptera; Tephritidae. The record is from RefSeq and is a predicted model, not a curated record.
CUUUGCGUUGUGCUACGGAGCAAAUUUUACAUUCCAUUCCGAGCGAAUUGAAUUUGAAAGCACCAGCCGGAAUGGCACGUACGAAAUGGCAGGCCCGGGGCUGCAUUGAAUCCCAAAUUAGAAUGAAAGACUGCAGUGCUAAAUUUUACUCAAAACUUGACUUCCAAGGAUCACUAUGAGAAAGUCCACCUCUAAGAUAGGAAUAUCGCCAAAGAAAUUUUAUGGUGUGGUAACCUCCGGGUUAGAUCCGUGAAAGAUGUGAUGUCUUAAUCGGCUAAAAGACGGACAGUCUCAGAUGUUUCUCAAGGGUUUCUCAAGUGUUUCUCAAGUGUUUCUCAAGUGUUUCUCA